AAGUUCCCAAAACAACCCCUGAGUACCAUCAUCAUCGUCGUCUCGUCUUUAGGUCACCGUUCUAAAUACGCCACCGCCACCGAUUUCAUAGAUCGUUUCUUCCUACUCUCAGCUUCUUAUCUUGCUCGCUCCAAUCCGGUCGACUCUUCCUCUGCCUUCCAGUUCAUUCCAUCUUUCCAAUUGAUUGUUCGCCACAGUCUCCUAUAGUCUCAUAUUUCAGUCCAGUUCAUCGACUCCCACAAUAUCGAUUCCUCUCACUACAUACAUCUCCGCCAUCUACCACUAAUUGAAAAAGAUUGACGCGUUUCCAAUCAUUCAACAACCGACGACAGCUUCACGAUUUUGAGGUUUUUGGCUUCAAUUUUUAAGGUAUGUGAAGUUCUAUAGCCACGAUUUUCAUCUUUCUGGAUCGAUUUUGUCUGCAACUGCUCCACCACCUCGCCACCGCCGGUGAUGCAACAUCGGAAGCUUCUUUCAAGAAAACCAUUGCUACAAAAAAACCCUAAAUUCAAGAACGAGGAUGUUUGCCACUGCUCAAUCAAAUCCUAAAUCACGUCUCUUCCUACUUUGCUUCACUAAAGUCACGUUUGUCAGAUUCGUCAAAUCCGACAACGAUCCGGUGUUUACGGUAGACGAAGGUCUUUCUCCAGAAAUCUGUUGGAAUUAUCAGGGAUUCAAAAUAAGUUAACUGUGAUUUCAUUCACAAUUUUAGGAGUUUAUUACAAUUUUGUUACCUUUGACAAUGAUGAAUAUAUCGAAGAUGUUGCGUCUCACACUGAUGGUCAAACCUCUGUUACUAAAUUGGUUUGAAUGACAGUUCUCAAAUGGCUAUGCCUUUAUUACCGGUAUGAUUCAUUUCCUCUGAAGAUAAAAUUCUGAGCCACUCAUGAUUGCAACUAUAUCUCAUUAAUGUGAGUAUUGAAUUCAUUCAAUUAAGGAAGUUGAUGAAUUCGCAGUUAUGGCACAUGUGUGCUGGUCCUUUAGUCUCUUUACCUCAAAUUGGAAGCCUCAUGGUCUAUUUUCCACAAGCCCACAAUGAGCAACUUGCAUCAUGAUGCGAACCUGAUGAAGUUUAUGCAUAGAUGACUCUUCAACCCCUAACUAAACUAGUAUGAUCAACAAGCAUUACUUAUGUGUGAAAUGGUUUUGAAGUAAAACAAGCACCCAGCUGCAAAAACACAUGUUCCGAAUACUCACUUGAAGCGCAAGCUGCUACAUGGCAGGCUUGGCUAUAUAUUGGCUUAUCCAGAUUUAGUAACAUGGUUCGUUUUGGAGUGGCUGGCCUUAAAUUAAGGCGUGGGUAUGCUCGAUCACAACCAGGAGAGCCAAUCCAUCACUGCAACAUUGGAGUUUGCCAUGUCAUUAAGAGACGGUUCGAUAAAUCUUUCAAAUUCUCAGAAUUGUCAACUCUCUACAAGAUCAAACGCAAGUGUAAAGAGAAGUUUAGGCUAGAGGCUUCAGUUGUUGUUGGAUGGAGAAAGAAACACCAAAAAAUGGCUCCAGAAGGAGAGAUUAUGGUACUUUAUUUUAGAAAUAAUUUAUUACAUUUGAUAUCUACAGGCAUGAAUUAAAAGCACAGAGGGAGAGAAUCUUUCAAAUUGAUGACUACAAUGUUUAAAGCUAGAUACUUUUUCCAACAACUUAUGUCGGGAGUUCAGUACUACCAUUUCCUGGAGAUUGGUUGAGUGGUCUCAAUUGCUAUACUAACCAUAUAAAUCGAAAUAUUAACAUGUGAUCAAUUGGAAAUUUCGGCAACAAGGGCAGAUUGCCAGAUUGUUACAACUGAAAAAAGAGAAAGCCAAAUCAUUAUCAGAUUUAACAUGUGAAAGGCGGGUACUCUAAUUUCUUAUGAUGGGAAGUGCAGCUUCUAGAAAUUUCACAAGUUCCUGAAGAGCAUGUGAGUUUUGUUUCUUUUUUAGGGAGAGAAAUAGCAACAUGCUUUUAUUGAAAUGUCUAUUAUAACAUCCUACUUUCAAUUUGUAAUUAGAUAUUUGUUAAUUGUUAUCCAUGAAUUAUAAUUUUA
Lactuca sativa (garden lettuce) is the source of this 2023-nucleotide non-coding RNA. The record is from RefSeq and is a predicted model, not a curated record. Lineage: Eukaryota; Viridiplantae; Streptophyta; Magnoliopsida; Asterales; Asteraceae.